This 673-nucleotide ribosomal RNA is filed under the name Alexandrium minutum. Its description in RNAcentral is "LSU rRNA". It matches the Rfam family "Eukaryotic large subunit ribosomal RNA", at positions 43 to 651 of the family's 3401-position model. The record is from RNAcentral. Lineage: Eukaryota; Dinophyceae; Gonyaulacales; Pyrocystaceae.
UAAGUAGGCGGUGGAAAAUGAACCAAAUGGGAUUCCUUAAGUAAUUGCGAAUGAACAAGGAAAUGCUCAGCUUGAAAAAUGGGGCCUUUGGCUUUGAAUUGUAAUUUUGAAAUGUAUUGCCAAUGGAGGCGCAGGUGCAAGCCUAUUGAAAGAAAGCGUCAACGAGGGUGAAAUUCCUUUUUGUCAUUUGCAGUCCUCCGUGCACGGUAUAUAUUUGACGAGUCACACUCCUCGGCAUUGGAAUGCAAAGUGGGUGGUAAAUUCCAUGUAAAGGUAAAUAUAUUAUUGAGACUGAUAGCAAACAAGUACCAUGAGGGAAAUAUGAAAAGGACUUUGAAAAGGGAAUUAAAAGAGUCUGCAUUUGCUGAACAGAAAGCAAACAGAAUUGAUGUGCUUGGUGAGAUUGUUGUGCCCACUCUGUCAUUUAUGUCGGAUGUGGGUGCGAUGGUUCUUACCUUGAAUGUCAGCUUCUAUUUCUGCAAAUCAUUACCCUUGCACAUGAAUGGUAAUUUGCCUGCGGGUAUUGGAAUGUAUGUGUUUGCAAUGAUUUGUGAUUUGAUGCAUGUGGUUGGUGGACUUUGUAUGUGCUGUUUUGCCAACGGGGAAGGGACUCUUCCUUGAGCACUGCAAGCCCUUGCACAUUGAUGCUGGCAAAAUGUUUCUGCUUGACCCG